RNAcentral lists this long non-coding RNA (785 nucleotides) under Anolis carolinensis (green anole). RNAcentral describes it as "lncRNA (ENSACAG00000038207.1)". The record is from RNAcentral. Lineage: Eukaryota; Metazoa; Chordata; Lepidosauria; Squamata; Anolidae.
UUCAGAAACUUAAAACAUAUACAUUUCAAUUUUGGGCUGAGAAGGCAUGAGGAGCAGAGGACAGGUACUGAAAAAGUAAUUGAAAAGAAAUAUGUGAUGUUGUUGAAUUCAGAUUCUACAUAAGUAAUAGGUUUUAUUGAAUGAAGUCACCAUCCUGUGCCAUUUGUGCAGUUACAGAUUUCCCAGAACUUAUUAGUAUUGCAUGUCUUCUGAUUAUGUGACAAUGAUACUUUGCCGUAAAGCUGUUUUAGGAAGGUAACCACAGUUCUGUUCCUCUGCAUGUCUUUAAAAUUAUUUUUAAAGGCAACAAAGUUUAGUUAAAACGUUGUUUAGUAAUACAAAACACUUUUAUUUUUUCAAAUACUAGGUGGGGGUUGGAGGCAGGAGAACAAUCCCACCCCCUGACAUCAAUUUUGUGCUGGCACAUAAGUAGCUGGGAAUCAUUGCAGCAGGAAACAUCUUCAGGGGUAGCUGUGUUGGUUGUGCAACAACAUAAAAACAAAAUCCACAGUAAAGGUAUGUGGAUUUUUGAUUUUGUUCCAUUUUCCACAUAUUUUAGUUUGUAACUAUAAGAAUGGGAACAUCGUCCACUCUUUAGCAGCUGUCUUUGUAAUAGUUUCAUCCUUUUCUCAGGAUGUUCUGUUCAUCACCAAUAGCUAGUAGACAUGCACUUUAAAAUGAUUGUGAUGGGUCAUUGCUCUUAACUGCCAGAAUGUUUAUUCAUUAAGUGUGAUCAGGUAGAUGAACAUUUGUACAGCUGAACUAUAGAUGAACUUCUCCACUUU